Molecule: ribosomal RNA, 391 nt
Filed under: uncultured bacterium
Lineage: Bacteria
Description: partial 16S ribosomal RNA
Rfam family: Bacterial small subunit ribosomal RNA
Source: RNAcentral
UGGGGAAUGAUUGCACAAUGGGCGAAAGCCUGAUGCAGCAACGCCGCGUGAGGGACGACGGCCUUCGGGUUGUAAACCUCUUUAGCAAGGAAGAAGCGAAAGUGACGGNUACUUGCAGAAAAAUGCGCCGGCUAACUACGUGCCAGCAGCCGCGGUAAUACGUAGGGCGCAAGCGUUAUCCGGAAUUAUUGGGCGUAAAGAGCUCGUAGGCGGUUUGUCGCGUCUGCUGUGAAAAGCCCGAGGCUCAACCUCGGGCCUGCAGUGGGUACGGGCAGACUAGAGUGCGGUAGGGGAGAUUGGAACUCCUGGUGUAGCGGUGGAAUGCGCAGAUAUCAGGAAGAACACCGAUGGCGAAGGCAGAUCUCUGGGCCGUAACUGACGCUGAGGAGCG